GGCAGUAGAUGCUUACACAUGCAGUCGAUUCAAGUUACCUUCGGGUAAUGAGGAUGGCGGACGGGUGAGUAACGCGUAAGGAACUUGCCUCUUGGACUGGGACAACUGUUGGAAACGACAGCUAAUACCGGAUAUUAUGAGAUUCUCGCAUGAGAAACUUAUGAAAGCUAUAUGCGCCAAGAGAGAGCCUUGCGUUCCAUUAGCUAGUUGGUGGGGUAACGGCCCACCAAGGCGACGAUGGAUAGCCGGCCUGAGAGGGUGAACGGCCACAAGGGGACUGAGACACGGCCCUUACUCCUACGGGAGGCAGCAGUGGGGAAUAUUGGACAAUGGGCCACAAGCCUGAUCCAGCAAUUCUGUGUGCACGAUGAAGGUCUUCGGAUUGUAAAGUGCUUUCAGUUGGGAAGAAGAAAGUGACGGUACCAACAGAAGAAGCGACGGCUAAAUACGUGCCAGCAGCCGCGGUAAUACGUAUGUCGCAAGCGUUAUCCGGAUUUAUUGGGCGUAAAGCGCGUCUAGGCGGAAAAAUAAGUCUGAUGUUAAAAUGCGGGGCUCAACUCCGUAUUGCGUUGGAAACUGUUUUUCUAGAGUACUGGAGAGGUGGGCGGAACUACAAGUGUAGAGGUGAAAUUCGUAGAUAUUUGUAGGAAUGCCGAUGGAGAAGUCAGCUCACUGGACAGAUACUGACGCUGAAGCGCGAAAGCGUGGGGAGCAAACAGGAUUAGAUACCCUGGUAGUCCACGCCGUAAACGAUGAUCACUAGGUGUCGGGGGUCGAACCUCAGCGCCCAAGCUAACGCGAUAAGUGAUCCGCCUGGGGAGUACGCACGCAAGUGUGAAACUCAAAGGAAUUGACGGGGACCCGCACAAGCGGUGGAGCAUGUGGUUUAAUUCGACGCAACGCGAGAAACCUUACCAGCGUUUGACAUCCUAAGAAGUUUCCAGAGAUGGAUUCGUGCCGGCUUGCCGGAACUUAGUGACAGGUGGUGCAUGGCUGUCGUCAGCUCCUGUCCUGAGAUGUUUGGGUUAAAUCCCGCAACGAGCGCAACCCCUAUUGUAUGUUGCUACCAUUUAAGUUGAGCACUCCUGCGAUACUGCCUGCGAUGAGCAGGAGAAAGAGGGGGGGGUGGAACUUCCAAUUCUUCAUGGCCCCUUAAAAACUGGGGGUAACACCCUGCUUCAAUGGGGGGGUACCAAAAAAUUUCCCCCUCCCCCGAGAGUGAGCAAAUCCCUUAAAACGGUUUCUUAUUUUUGUGAAUGGAACCCGCUCACCUCCGCGGCCCUGGAAUGUUGGUAGGCCUCUUCUA
Molecule: ribosomal RNA, 1306 nt
Filed under: uncultured bacterium
Lineage: Bacteria
Description: bacterial SSU rRNA
Rfam family: Bacterial small subunit ribosomal RNA
Source: RNAcentral